RNAcentral lists this small nucleolar RNA (106 nucleotides) under Eutrema salsugineum. RNAcentral's name for it is "Plant small nucleolar RNA R71". It matches the Rfam family "Plant small nucleolar RNA R71". From Rfam's summary of the family: R71 is a member of the C/D box family of snoRNAs containing the C (UGAUGA) and D (CUGA) box motifs. Lineage: Eukaryota; Viridiplantae; Streptophyta; Magnoliopsida; Brassicales; Brassicaceae. The record is from Rfam by way of RNAcentral.
AAACCGUGGUGAGGACAUUCCCUAAUGUAGCCUUUAUAACGAUCCUAAGCUUCAUGAAAAGGUUCGCUCCUUUUUGUUGGAACCUAUAAAUCCUUCCUCUAAAAAA